UUUCAUGCUGAUCAAAUGUGACCAGUUUUAGCGCAAACCCCUAAUUAGCUUAUAACGCUAGUCAUCAGGGCACUGGUUAAGUAAACAUCAAUUGCUAUUUGUAUACCAUGAACAAGGCUCAAAAUAUCACCACACUUCCAUGGUAGCAUAUUGAAGAUCCCUUCAUGUAAACUAAAACAUUGAGAACUUUGUAAGUGUACAGACAGUUUAUUAAAAAUACAGUUUAUAAAGACUGUACAUAAUGUUUUCA
Long non-coding RNA from Etheostoma spectabile (orangethroat darter), 250 nucleotides. RefSeq lists it as uncharacterized. The record is from RefSeq and is a predicted model, not a curated record. The transcript has 4 exons. NCBI's taxonomy places the organism in Eukaryota, Metazoa, Chordata, Actinopteri, Perciformes, Percidae.